This 232-nucleotide ribosomal RNA is filed under the name uncultured bacterium. Its description in RNAcentral is "partial 16S ribosomal RNA". It matches the Rfam family "Bacterial small subunit ribosomal RNA", at positions 99 to 334 of the family's 1533-position model. The record is from RNAcentral.
CGGACGGGUGAGUAAUGUCUGGGAAACUGCCUGAUGGAGGGGGAUAACUACUGGAAACGGUAGCUAAUACCGCAUAACGUCGCAAGACCAAAGAGGGGGACCUUCGGGCCUCUUGCCAUCGGAUGUGCCCAGAUGGGAUUAGCUAGCAGGUGGGGUAAAGGCUCACCUAGGCGACGAUCCCUAGCUGGUCUGAGAGGAUGACCAGCCACACUGGAACUGAGACACGGUCCAG